GGAAGGGAAGGUAAAGAACGAGAAGGGAAGGGAAGGUAAAGAACGAGAAGGGAAGGGAAGGUAAAGAACGAGAAGGGAAGGGAAGGUAAAGAACGAGAAGGGAAGGGAAGGUAAAUAACGAGAAGGGAAGGGAAGGUAAAUAACGAGAAGGGAAGGGAAGGUAAAGAACGAGAAGGGAAGGGAAGGUAAAGAACGAGAAGGGAAGGGAAGGUAAAGAACGAGAAGGGAAGGGAAGGUAAAGAACGAGAAGGGAAGGGAAGGUAAAGAACGAGAAGGGAAGGGAAGGUAAAGAACGAGAAGGGAAGGGAAGGUAAAGAACGAGAAGGGAAGGGAAGGUAAAGAACGAGAAGGGAAGGGAAGGUAAAGAACGAGAAGGGAAGGGAAGGUAAAGAACGAGAAGGGAAGGGAAGGUAAAGAACGAGAAGGGAAGGGAAGGGAAGGUAAAGAACGAGAAGGGAAGGGAAGGUAAAGAACGAGAA
Eriocheir sinensis (Chinese mitten crab) is the source of this 479-nucleotide long non-coding RNA. RefSeq lists it as uncharacterized. The transcript has 3 exons. NCBI's taxonomy places the organism in Eukaryota, Metazoa, Arthropoda, Malacostraca, Decapoda, Varunidae. The record is from RefSeq and is a predicted model, not a curated record.